ACUCUGGGAGACGUUUGAGACCCAGCGUCUCUAGAUCUCGUAUUUGAAUUUGUGGCGCUUGGUGUCCGCGAGUUGCCGAAUGAAGCUGAGCGUCUCAGUGGAACCAGGGAUCUCAGGGAGGGGAAGGUAUAAAAUUUUCAAAUGGAGGAGUAUACCUGAACCUAAUCAUGGAUGUGAUUUUAUGUAAGUAAUAUGUGAGAUACAGAUAAGCUGAUUCUAAAACUUACAAGAAUGGCAAAGAAACAAGAAGAGCUUAAACUGCAAUCAUCAACAGAGAAGCUUUCUGCAACCAAAGUGAAGACUGAAGCCUUAGGCUAUGGCAGAAGUUGGGCGCCUGAAGUACACGUGGAAAUAUGCCAACUGAACAUUGGACUACCACGUCAAGGGUCUCCUACCCCUGGGCCAUGGAUCAAUACCAGUCUGUGACCUGUUAGGAACCGGUAGCAGGAGGUGAGUAGCAGCCUAGCGAGCACUACUGCCUAAGCUCCACCUCCUGUCAGAUCAGUAGUGACAUGAGAUUUUCAUAGGAGCAGAAACCCUAUUGUGAACUCCAAACACAAGGGAUCUAGGUUAUGCACUACUUAUGAGAAUCUAAUGCCUGAUGAUCUGAGGUGGAACAGUUUCAUCCUGAAACCACCGCCCCCAUGUGUGGAAAAAUUGUCUUCCACAAAACUGGUCCCUGGUACCAAAAAGGUCAGGGACCACUGCUGUAGGUAAACCUGCACUGGUACAAAAUGACAGAAAUAUACACAGUCAUUUAUUAUAGCAUUGUUAUAUUGUUAUAUUGUUAUUAUAGCAUUGUUGCAUGAAUACAGGAUUGGAAAUAAAUCAAGGAUCUAGUAAUAAGGGACUGGUUGAAUAAACCAUGGAACACACGCAAACACACACACACAUAUACAAAAUAGAGCUGUAUAUACUGGUAUGGAGAGAUAUACAGAAUGUAUGAAGCUGGUGGGGUGAAGGGAAACAAUAUAUAGAGCAGUGUUUAUUGUUUGUUACCUUUUGUAGGAAGAGUGGAAAAGUAAGAGUAUAUAUUUGUAUUUUCUUGUAUUUUUGUAAAGAAACUGGAAAAAUAAAAAAAAAGCAACUAAUAAAAUGGUUACCUAUAAGGAGUUGACAGGAAAUAUGGUGGCAGGAGUGGGACAAAGAUUCAUCUGUUGCAUUUUUUGUAUAACAUUGACUGUUUAAAAACUUUUUGUUGUGUACUUUACACAAAAGAAGAAAGAAUAGGUUAACUAACCUUGAUACCCAUCACCUAGCCUCAACAAUUAUCAAUGCAUGAGCUAUAUUACUUCAUCCAUAAUUCCACACCCAUUUCCCUUCACUAAAUUAUUUUAAAGUCAGUGUCAGACAUCAUAUUAUUUCAUCUGUAUAUAUCCGUAAAUAUUUCACUGUGUAUCGCUGACAGAUAAAGGCUGUUUUUUAAGAAAUCAUAUCACACUAAAAAUUAUUGUAAUUUCUUAUGUCUAAUGGAAAUUUAAAUAAUAUCUAAUUAGACUACAUUUUUGUGACCAUUACCUUAUAUUUCAGCUGCCCUGCUUCCUUCUUUAUUUAUAGUGUCUAAGUUUAUUGUGGGUCUUCUUAGUACAAAUUAGCAAUAAAUUUUCUCUUGGAAAUAAUCUUAAUCUCAGAGAAAAGCCUCAAGAAUAUUACAAAGAAUUUCUGUAUACUCUUCCCCCAGAUACCCAAAUUUACCAUAUUUGCUUUGUAUCGUCCUCACAGUCUGUCUCUAUGUAUGAUAUUAUAUAUUUAAUUAUAUAUGUGUUAUGUUUUUCUGAACCAUUUAAGGGUAAGUUGCAGACAUAACGCCUCUUUCCCCCAAAAUACGUUCAUUUGUAUUUUCUAAGAAUAUUCUGAUAUAUAACCACAGGGGAAAUUAACAUGAUACAAUACUAUUAUGAAAUCUACAAAUCUGAUUCAUAUUACACCUUUUUUUCCCUUGUAUUUCUUUGCCCUUACAGGAAAUAAAUAAAUUUUUUUUCUGUAUCAGAGUGCAA
Long non-coding RNA from Homo sapiens (human), 1997 nucleotides. Ensembl annotates it as long intergenic non-protein coding RNA 1572. Lineage: Eukaryota; Metazoa; Chordata; Mammalia; Primates; Hominidae. The record is from Ensembl.